Coturnix japonica (Japanese quail) is the source of this 2968-nucleotide non-coding RNA. The record is from RefSeq and is a predicted model, not a curated record. NCBI's taxonomy places the organism in Eukaryota, Metazoa, Chordata, Aves, Galliformes, Phasianidae.
UUUUUCUUCCUUGUGAUAUAGGGACAUGCUCACACAUGUGCACAUACACGCUCACAUACCAUGUUAGAAACUAAUAAAGAUGUCAGCCGCUGUGCUCUGUUAUGAGCUGUGACACGUAACAUAAAGCACCCUGCCUUUUCCUGAUACUGUCAUUUUCUGUAAGUGCAAGCUUCACUUUGGGUUUUAUUAGCCAAUGCAUCAGAACUCUGCACAUAGAAAGAGAUUUAAUAAAGUCAAUUAAUUAGGCUGCCCUUUUAGGCAGUGAAGGAGCAGGAGUACAGGAGCUAUCUAGAACCACAGUACUGCACAACAUUCAGUACUCUUCUUCAGAUAAUGCUUUUGUAAUAACAGAGAUUCUCAGCUCCCAUAUAACAGAUUCUCAGCUACUUGCUGGGCUCUGGCAGCAGGGAUUAGUUUAGGUAGUACACUGAACAGCUGGACUUGUUGUUGUGGGCAUGCUGCCGGAUCUGUGUGCCUCCCGAGCCUGCUGCCAGCCCCGUGGUGUGCAGAAGGAGAUGGACGAGGGCUCCCCGCCAGCAAACUCAACACAGGGAAAGCCAUGGCCCAUUUUCCAGAGAAGUGGUGAAAACCACCAAAGAGACUGCUCCAUCUGCACAGCUAUUACAUAUCAAAGCCAGUGUCUGCAUUUUCAAUAAUCAAGCAAGUUUACAGGCCAAAUGGCUCUCUGAACGUGAGCCCACAGAGCGCUGAAUGAAGCACUGUGCUGCUCCAGGAGGUUCCAGUGCAGCCAGCCAGAAGGUGGCUUUAACAGUGAUGUUAGAAACAAAAGAUGGCUUGAAACGGUCAUGUGCUGGCUGGCUUGCAGAUUGAAGGUAAAAGAUACAGAGGUGGAAAUGGAACACAAGGUCAGUUAAUUUACUAUCCUUCAUUUGCUCAACAGCUUUUUUGAUUAGUGUCAUUUUAACACUGUUGAUGAUCUCAACUGAUUAUUUCCUCUGGAGAGUGUUCACAGCUUAAUAUUAAUUACACGGCAUUGUAAAAUUUCCUAAAGAAUUGAAGGGGUUAAAACAAAAUGGUACUGCAGCUUUUUGCUGUUAGGUAUCUGCUAACAGGAGCAUGUGAUGAAGGUUAGGGCAAAUUAAUUGCUUGAUUACGCAACACUUGGUUCUUGUGUUCAUAGCCUAAGUAACAAAUCAGUGUUUCUGUAUAUUCUUAUUCUAAUUACAUAAUAAUAUAGUAGAGUGUAAGGACAGUCAUCACAAUGGUAAUUUUUACUUGUGGAGGUUCAGAGACUUCCGGUUAGGUUGAAACAGUAGCUGAACAUGCUAUUCUCUGUUUUGGGGGCUCAUGCUGAAAUGUGGGAAAGCCUCUUAAAAGCAUGCGUGCAUGUCUAGGAAUAUGGGCACUUGGUUUUACUAAUUUUUGUUUAAAAGACUGACAAAGUGGAUUUUCUGCCUAACUUAGAAACAUAAAUCUGCCAAGAUGUAUAACAAAGGCUAAGUCAUGGACAAAGCAGCCAGAGGAAACCCUGAAACUGUCUGAUAGCACUGGUGUAGCAGAACAUCACACAAAGCUGCAACUCCUCAUCCACCAGCAAGCUCCUUUGGACUGCAGCUGCCCUAUAGUGAUUCUCACAUAUGCAUGGAACUAUGAAAUUUAGCACAAUAUUAUUCAGGUUUAGCUUUGGGGCUUGGCCACUGGUUACUGCUGAAAAAACAGAGGUUUGCUUUGCUAAAGUGUCCAAAAUUAAAGUUGCUUGCUGAUGCUGCACUAAGUUGCCAUCCAGCAUGCACUAAAGAAAUCCUGGUUAUUUUCCCAUGGCUCCCUUAGCUAUACAAAUGCUAGGUGGGAAUGCAAUCUCCUUGUGAAAAUGGACUUUGGAGAACGGACCAGCUGGAUUCCCAGGUUGUUCUCCUGGGGCCUUGGCAGGCUGGGAUUCAGGGUUGCAGGCAUCCUCCCUUCCUCUUAGCCUCUGCAGGGUGAGCAAAACAGCAUUUCUGCCGUCACGUAUCUCUGUUUUGUACGAGUCCUCUGUUCAUUGCAAACAUAUGAAAGACACAUGUUUUACAGCAGAUUUUUUUGGCGUGCAGGCAAAGUGCAAGGAGGGGGGCUAAUUAGACUUCAGGGUGGUACUUCCCUCUAGCAUCAGGAAUAAAAGCUAUUUAACAAAAAAUACAAUAUGGUGCCAGUAAAAAUGCUUGGAAAUAGAAUUACAAUAGCCAAACUUGUUUUUUGUAAGUUGUUUACCAUGAAUGAAAUAAAGUGCAGAGGAAAUGGAAAAUGUGGUAACUGUAUUGAAUGCAUUUAUAUAGUUUUCAGAUGUCUCUCAGAGUUAUCCUUAUACUAUAUCUCCUCUCAAUAUGUUUAUGGACCCUCUGUGUAAAAAGGUCAUGCCAUUUUUUCCCUGGAGUUUUUCCUUCUGUCUUGGCUAAACCUUCCUGCAAGAGUUUUGGAACUUGGCAGUGUUAAAGAGUUCAGACAGAGAAACAGACCUAGACCAAUGUCAAAUUGAAAAUAUGGAAAAAAAAAUGUUGUUGCAAAUAUAAAUCAAACUCCAUGAGAUCUGCAGCAAAGUAGAGAGUUUUGCCUAUCAAUCAGACCCAAAGAUCCCAAAUCUAGUGCAUAUAUGUUGAAGAUCACCAUCCUAUCUGCAGUCUCUACAUAACUCUUAUGAUGACUAAUUGUGAAAGACAGAACUGUUUUUCUUUUAUUGUCUCAAAGUUUGCUUUCGUGAGGCCUUUCUGAUGAUAAGACUCUGACAGGCAACUGCUAACUAUCCAGGAGGGUGAAUGGUGGGUGUUAUCGUGCCAUCCCUGCUUAGGACUGCAAAGAUAAGCAGGAACAAGACAAGCAGUUUUUUCCAGGGGUGCUGCUGGGAGGAGCAGACCCCUGCAGAAGGUGGUAAAUCUUGUGUCUGGCAACAGAGACCUCCAACCCUUGCUGGCUUAUCUGUGGGACAGGAAUGUCAGAAAAGUUAGUUUUAAAUCAUUUUACAAAGAAGUGUUUG